RNAcentral lists this long non-coding RNA (383 nucleotides) under Gallus gallus (chicken). Its description in RNAcentral is "lncRNA (ENSGALG00010006820.1)". Lineage: Eukaryota; Metazoa; Chordata; Aves; Galliformes; Phasianidae. The record is from RNAcentral.
GGAAAGAACGGAUAGAACCUCCACAGAGACAGAAACACAGGGCAGAAAAUUAGGUGACAGUUGAAAAACAACAACGGAAAGCACGGAUAGAACCUCCACAGAGACAGAAACAUAGGGCAGAAAAUUAGGUGACAGUUCAAAAACAACAACAGAAAGAACGGAAAGAACGGAAAGAACCUCCACAGAGACAGAAACAUAGGGCAGAAAAUUAGGUGACAGUUGAAAAACAACAACGGAAAGAACGGAAAGAACCUCCACAGAGACAGAAACAUACGGCAGAGAACUAGGUGACAGGUCAAGAACAGCAACGGAAAGAACGGAAAGAACCUCCACAGAGACAGAAACAUAGGGCAGAAAACUAGGUGACAGGUCAAGAACAACAA